CCUACGGGUGGCAGCAGUGAGGAAUAUUGGUCAAUGGCCGGGAGGCUGAACCAGCCAAGUCGCGUGAGGGAAGACGGCCCUACGGGUUGUAAACCUCUUUUGUCAGGGAGCAAGGUGCAGGUCGGGACCUGCUGUGAGAGUACCUGAAGAAAAAGCAUCGGCUAACUCCGUGCCAGCAGCCGCGGUAAUACGGAGGAUGCGAGCGUUAUCCGGAUUUAUUGGGUUUAAAGGGUGCGCAGGCGGAGGCACAAGUCAGCGGUAAAAUGUCGGGGCUCAACCCCGGCCGGCCGUUGAAACUGGUUUUCUAGAGUUGGAGAGAAGUAUGCGGAAUUCGUGGUGUAGCGGUGAAAUGCAUAGAUAUCACGAAGAACUCCGAUUGCGAAGGCAGCAUACCGGCUCCAUACUGACGCUGAGGCACGAAAGCGUGGGGAUCGAACAGGAUUAGAUACCCGGGUAGUC
RNAcentral lists this ribosomal RNA (459 nucleotides) under uncultured bacterium. Its description in RNAcentral is "partial 16S ribosomal RNA". It matches the Rfam family "Bacterial small subunit ribosomal RNA", at positions 338 to 795 of the family's 1533-position model. The record is from RNAcentral.